UGUGUCUUUUACGUUUGGUUGCCGUUCCCAGAACUGGGUGCUUGACAGGCGGUGGCGCAGCCUACGUAUUUGAAGAGUAAGUUUUCCCUCAUUCCCGUUUGUUUUGCCCUUUGAGGUGCUCUGGUUUAUCCUAGCGGCUCAAGAGUUUUGUGUUUCGUGUCCUCCUCUACAAUUGUAAUAGAUCUAUUCUGAAUUUGUCUUGAUUCUAGUUACCAUUCUGCGCAUGAUUAUUUAUGUGGCUCAAUCUUCAUUUACAUCGGUUGGAUAUUUUUGGUUGAUCAUGAUUUUUGGUUGAUCCCAUUUUUUGGUUGAUCAUGAUUUUUAGUUGAUCCCAUAAUUUUAAUGAAAAUAACCC
RNAcentral lists this long non-coding RNA (355 nucleotides) under Olea europaea (common olive). RNAcentral's name for it is "long non-coding RNA (OEUR_LNC006934)". Lineage: Eukaryota; Viridiplantae; Streptophyta; Magnoliopsida; Lamiales; Oleaceae. The record is from RNAcentral.